This 253-nucleotide ribosomal RNA is filed under the name uncultured bacterium. RNAcentral describes it as "partial 16S ribosomal RNA". It matches the Rfam family "Bacterial small subunit ribosomal RNA", at positions 524 to 776 of the family's 1533-position model. The record is from RNAcentral.
UACGAAGGGGGCUAGCGUUGCUCGGAAUUACUGGGCGUAAAGGGAGCGUAGGCGGAUAGUUAAGUCAGAGGUGAAAGCCCAGGGCUCAACCUUGGAACUGCGUCUGAUACUGGUUGGCUUGAAUCCGGGAGAGGGAUGCAGAAUUCCAGGUGUAGCGGUGAAAUGCGUAGAUAUCUGGAGGAAUACCGGUGGCGAAGGCGGCAUCCUGGACCGGCAUUGACGCUGAGGAGCGAAAGCCAGGGGAGCAAACGGG